GAUGAACGCUGGCGGCGUGCCUAAUACAUGCAAGUCGAGCGAACAGACGAGGAGCUUGCUCCUCUGACGUUAGCGGCGGACGGGUGAGUAACACGUGGAUCCCCUACCUAUAAUACUGGGAUAACUUCGGGAAACCGGAGCUAAUACCGGAUAAUCUAUUGAACCGCAUGGUUCAAUAGUGAAAGACGGUUUUGCUGUCACUUAUAGAUGGAUCCCCGCCGCAUUAGCUAGUUGGUAAGGUAACGGCUUAUCAAGGCAACGAUGCGUAGCCGACCUGAGAGGGUGAUCGGCCACACUAGAACUGAGACACGGUCCAGACUCCUACGGGAGGCAGCAGUAGGGAAUCUUCCGCAAUGGGCGAAAGCUUGACGGAGCAACGCCGCGUGAGUGAUGAAGGUCUUCGGAUCGUAAAACUCUGUUAUUAGGGAAGAACAAAUGUGUAAGUAACUAUGCACGUCUUGACGGUACCUAAUCAGAAAGCCACGGCUAACUACGUG
Molecule: ribosomal RNA, 497 nt
Filed under: uncultured bacterium
Lineage: Bacteria
Description: partial 16S ribosomal RNA
Rfam family: Bacterial small subunit ribosomal RNA
Source: RNAcentral